Triticum aestivum (bread wheat) is the source of this 135-nucleotide non-coding RNA. The record is from Rfam. NCBI's taxonomy places the organism in Eukaryota, Viridiplantae, Streptophyta, Magnoliopsida, Poales, Poaceae.
CUAAUACUCACUAUGUCCGAAAAUAUUUGUCAUCAAAAUGGAAAAGAAAUGAUGUAUCUAUAACUAAAAUAUGUCUAGAUACAUCCUCUUUUAUUCAUUUUGAUGACAAGUAUUUCCGAACAGAGGGAGUACCUU